GUGCUUGCUUCGGCAGCACAUAUACUAACAUUGGAAUGAUAUAGAGACCAUUAGCAUGGCCCCUGCCCUGCGCAAGGAUGAUACGCAAAUUUAUUAAGUGUUCCAUAUUUAA
Molecule: small nuclear RNA, 112 nt
Organism: Suncus etruscus (white-toothed pygmy shrew)
Lineage: Eukaryota; Metazoa; Chordata; Mammalia; Eulipotyphla; Soricidae
Source: RefSeq, a predicted model, not a curated record